This 484-nucleotide ribosomal RNA is filed under the name uncultured bacterium. RNAcentral describes it as "partial 16S ribosomal RNA". It matches the Rfam family "Bacterial small subunit ribosomal RNA", at positions 30 to 507 of the family's 1533-position model. The record is from RNAcentral.
AUUGAACGCUGGCGGCAGGCCUAACACAUGCAAGUCGAGCGGAUGAAGGGAGCUUGCUCCUGGAUUCAGCGGCGGACGGGUGAGUAAUGCCUAGGAAUCUGCCUGGUAGUGGGGGAUAACGUCCGGAAACGGGCGCUAAUACCGCAUACGUCCUGAGGGAGAAAGUGGGGGAUCUUCGGACCUCACGCUAUCAGAUGAGCCUAGGUCGGAUUAGCUAGUUGGUGGGGUAAAGGCCUACCAAGGCGACGAUCCGUAACUGGUCUGAGAGGAUGAUCAGUCACACUGGAAGUGAGACACGGUCCAGGCUCCUACGGGAGGCAGCAGUGGGGAAUAUUGGACAAUGGGCGAAAGCCUGAUCCAGCCAUGCCGCGUGUGUGAAGAAGGUCUUCGGAUUGUAAAGCACUUUAAGUUGGGAGGAAGGGCAGUAAGUUAAUACCUUGCUGUUUUGACGUUACCAACAGAAUAAGCACCGGCUAACUUCGUG